Molecule: long non-coding RNA, 523 nt
Organism: Bubalus bubalis (water buffalo)
Lineage: Eukaryota; Metazoa; Chordata; Mammalia; Artiodactyla; Bovidae
Exons: 4
Source: RefSeq, a predicted model, not a curated record
GGCUGUAAAAACUGCGACUGAAGUAAAAUUCCAAUGGAUACAGAAGAGAGGAGUAUGCUCUGAAGACAACACAGGCUCAAGCUGUUGAAGGAGACAGCAAUGCUACUGAAAGCAAUAACCUGGGCAUUGUUCAGAUACUGAGUACUAACGGUAUCGUCAGGAAACGGACGCACUGGGGACGUCACUUGCCCAGGUCCCACAGCUGUAAGUGGCAGAGCGGCCGUGCAACUCAAGACAGGCUGGUCCUGGUGUCCUACUCUUCAACACCACGUGGAUGUUAACUGUGCUUUUCUUCACUGAGCUACAGGAAAAACAGCAGCAGCAAAUCUCUCUGUUGCCCAUGCAGGUAUUUAAGGUGGCUGGCUGGGGUAACUCUACAGAGAAUCUAUAUGAGCAUUAAGAAGUCUGAGAAUCAACUUCCAACUAAAAGAAUCCAAAAAUGAUGUUUCUGAGGUUUAUAUCCGCUUAUGGGAUCAAAAUAAUGAGGUCAAAAAUUGAAUUUUUUUUUGGCUAAGCUGCAGAA